GUGCCAGCAGCCGCGGUAAAACGUAGGACGCAAACGUUAUCCGGAAUUACUGGGCGUAAAGGGCGCGCAGGCGGUCGGGUAAGUGAGGCAUGAAAGCCUCAGGCUAAACCUGAGGAAGCUGUCUGAGACUGUCCGACUAGAGUGCGAUAGAGGGGUGUAGAAUUCCGCGUGUAGUGGUGAAAUGCGUAGAGAUGCGGAGGAAUACCAGAGGCGAAGGCGGCACCCUGGAUCGUAACUGACGCUGAGGCGCGAAAGCAUGGGUAGCGAACGGGAUUAGAAACCCCCGUAGUCC
This 292-nucleotide ribosomal RNA is filed under the name uncultured bacterium. RNAcentral's name for it is "partial 16S ribosomal RNA". It matches the Rfam family "Bacterial small subunit ribosomal RNA", at positions 505 to 796 of the family's 1533-position model. The record is from RNAcentral.